RNAcentral lists this ribosomal RNA (253 nucleotides) under uncultured bacterium. Its description in RNAcentral is "partial 16S ribosomal RNA". It matches the Rfam family "Bacterial small subunit ribosomal RNA", at positions 524 to 776 of the family's 1533-position model. The record is from RNAcentral.
UACGUAGGGGGCAAGCGUUGUCCGGAAUCAUUGGGCGUAAAGAGCGUGUAGGCGGCCCGAUAAGUCCGCCGUGAAAGUCCAGGGCUCAACCCUGGGAUGCCGGUGGAAACUGUCGGGCUAGAGUCCGGAAGAGGCGAGUGGAAUUCCUGGUGUAGCGGUGAAAUGCGCAGAUAUCGGGAGGAACACCUAUGGCGAAGGCAGCUCGCUGGGACGUUACUGACGCUGAGACGCGAAAGCGUGGGGAGCAAACAGG